RNAcentral lists this long non-coding RNA (287 nucleotides) under Mytilus galloprovincialis (Mediterranean mussel). The record is from RNAcentral. Lineage: Eukaryota; Metazoa; Mollusca; Bivalvia; Mytilida; Mytilidae.
UGCUUGCUUCCAUUUCAUGCACUCAAUUUCAGGAUUCAAUUUUUGUAAAUAUUCGAGAAAAAAAAGUUUUAGAAGGUGAAAGUCAGAUUUCGUUUUAGUUAAGCCAGGGGUCCCACAGGGGUCAAUUAUUGGACCAAGUCUUUUUAUUUAUAAAUUAACUGUUUACAAAAUUUUGAAUUUUUUGAAAUACUAAGGCUUUUCUACCUCAGGCAUAGAUUACCUUAGCUGUAUUUGGCAACACUUUUAGGAAUUUUGGAUCUCAAUGCUCUUCAACUUCGUACUUUAUU